RNAcentral lists this long non-coding RNA (1129 nucleotides) under Polistes fuscatus (common paper wasp). RNAcentral describes it as "uncharacterized LOC122516514, transcript variant X1". Lineage: Eukaryota; Metazoa; Arthropoda; Insecta; Hymenoptera; Vespidae. The record is from RNAcentral.
GAUGAACGCGCGUGGACGUAAAAACGGGACGCUCGAGAGAGAGUGUAUAUGUAGUAAGGCUAGUUCGUUAUAAAAACGAGCCAACGGAACGUCAAGUAUUUAUAUAUAUAUAUAUAUCUAUUUAUAUAUUUAUGUAUGUAUGUAUUGUGUAUAUAUAUAUAUAUAUCUAUAUAUAUAUAUAUAAGUAAAGAUAAUAACGACGCUGUUUCACGAGCACCGCGACACAAUUGGUACGCAGGCUACCGAUAGACUGACGGGCCAUGAACGAGCGCAACGAGCGCAACGAACAACCAGAACCACCACCACCACCUUCAGCACCACCACCAUCACCACCGCAGGGAUGAGGCGGCCUUACGAUGAGCUUUCUGGGUCGGAGGAGGUAGACGCGAGCGCAGGACUUUGUAUAGUAGAGGGUGAAAGGGCUAGACUAGGGGGUGUCACGCGGUAAAAUACGUCGAGAGGGGUCAACGGGGUGAGAGAGCGAUGAUAUGCAUCGCUAUACUCCAAACAUCAUGGUAAGGUCGCAUACUACUUCUGCUUGCUAUCUUAUCCUAAGAGCAAGGAAUCAUCUUGUAUUAAAUGCUUUUGCUACUGUAUAUUUUUGUCCAUCUUUUUUAGAAUGAGGAUAAUGAUCAAAUGGGAUAGAUGAAUACAAACUUGUAUAGUAACUCUCGUUUCCUGUGCUAACAAAAAACGUUCUAAGUAAGAUAGAAAUAUGACGAUUAUGAACUAAGGAGAAAAUCCUUAAUUGGGAUGUGUGAAUUAAUUGUAUAGCUUAUACGUUCUACUUUGUUUAAUAUUUUUCUUAGUUGACAGAUGCCUGACGUAUUUUCGAGCAAAAUAAGGUCCUAAUCAUUCCGUGGCUAUAUUUUGAAAGAACACGCGACAGGUGCACUUGAUACGAAGGUUCAAGCUCUUCCGCAUGUUUCCAGAUAUGAUCGAUGAUUCUACGAAAAUUCAGCUGUUCGAUUUAUGACUUGGCGAAAUUUUGAUCCUUCCUCGUGGACAGUUCCAACUGAUGACACCGGUGGCGUUGCUAUCUGCAUCUGUUGACGAUAACGUUGGAAACGACCAUAAGUGUAACAAAUUUCUGGUUAUAUUUGUUCAAUUUAUCUGUAUUAUGUUAUAU